Molecule: ribosomal RNA, 247 nt
Filed under: Hyphodontia sp.
Lineage: Eukaryota; Fungi; Basidiomycota; Agaricomycetes; Hymenochaetales; Schizoporaceae
Description: partial large subunit ribosomal RNA
Source: RNAcentral
AAACGCUUGGAGUCAGUCGCGUUGGUCGGGAUUCAGUCGCUCUUACCGGAGUGGAUUACUUCCCGAUGAACGGGUCAACAUCGAUUUCGGCCGGUGGACAAAGGGGAGAGAAAGGUGGCACCUUCGGGUGUGUUAUAGUCUCUCUUUCGCAUACACCGACUGGGAUCGAGGAUCGCAGCACGCCUUUAUGGCCGGGGGUUCGCCUCACGUAACGUGCUUAGGAUGUUGGCAUAAUGGCUUUAAGCGA